Molecule: long non-coding RNA, 1364 nt
Filed under: Equus asinus (donkey)
Lineage: Eukaryota; Metazoa; Chordata; Mammalia; Perissodactyla; Equidae
Description: lncRNA (ENSEASG00005036299.1)
Source: RNAcentral
CGGUGGCAGGUUGACUGGCGUGUGCGCUGCGCCGAACUGUGCCGGGCGCAGGGCCCGGCCCGCAGGAGGACUCGGGAACGCGCAACUCUGGGGGGCGGAAGCUGAGGGGGAGCGUCCGCCCAGCGCCAGGGAAGCUGCCUGGGGUGCAGACAGCCUCAGGGCGCCCCCGCACCGGUACCUCACAGAAAGGGAGGAGCGGCGCGCGGGGCAAGCCCGGAGCACCGUGGAUGGUGACAGCCUGAACGGACAAAGGACCGAGGCCAGACCACAGGGCAAAGCCGAACUCUGCAAGGGCCAAGCAGAGAAAGCCAAGUCGGCUCCCUGACCAACCACACAGACGCGCCCUUCUGGUCCCCGCCUCCAGCGUCCCUGUGCUGAGGACCACCAGUCCGGGCACACCUGAGGCCUCCGCCUUUUUCCACUACGAAGCACCUGUGGGAGGAAGCAGGUGGCGUGAGACUCAGGGCUCCAGGCCCCAGUUCCUGAGUGCCUGUGGUGUGACAGUUCCCGAGGAUGUGACACCAAGCCCCUGGGGUACGGAGCCUGCAUUCUGCAGAGGAAGAGAGACAGCAAGCAAUAAACACUCAGAUAGAGAAAAGAGGCCGGGUUGGGGGGGUGCUGGAUACAGCGGAGGGGGGACUUCCUCUAACUCAGGUGGUGAGGGAACCCUCUCUGAAGGACAGCUGUGGCUUUCUUCCUCUGCGGCUAAGGUGACUCCUGAGAACCAGGGGGCUUUACCCUCUGAGGCUGCGCAGCAGCCCCCCUCUCCUUCCCUGGUGCCAGCAGCCAUCCCCCGUCGCAUCCAGCACAGGACUGCCCCACGUUGCCCCCAUCAGCCAUGCACUGUGUUCUCGAGGCACCAGAAGGACAGACAGGCAGCUGGGCAUCAACCCAUGGGGACAAAGAGAGGACAUGAGGCAGCAGCCCCCCAGGACCCGGGUGCUUUGGGGGGCCCCAAGAUUGGUUUAUGAAACACCACAAAGCACCAGCCUGGAUGUGUGUUUACCGACUGGCAGUCCACAAGUCAAGGAAUAUAGCUCAGCUUUGGAAAGAGAGCCGUGUGACAUGGGGCCGAUUAUUUAAGCUCUUUAAGCCUCACUUUCAGAACGUGGAAACUGAGAUGCAAAAAGUAGUCACCUCGGGGCUGGCCCCGUGGCUGAGUGGUUAAGUUCGCGCGCUCCGUUGCAGGCGGCCCAGUGUUUCGUUGGUUCGAAUCCUGGGCGCGGACAUGGCACUGCUCAUGAGACCACGCUGAGGCGGCGUCCCACAUGCCACAACUAAAAAAAAGGACCCACAACAAAGAAUAUACAACUAUGUACCGGGGGGCUUUGGGGAGAAAAAGGGGAAAAAAUAAAAAAAUCUUU